AUCACUUCGAGUGAGUAAGAUCCCUCAGAGACGAUGAGGUUGAUAGGUUCGAGAUGGAAGCGUGGUGACACGUGGAGUUGACGGAUACUAAUCGAUCGAGGACUUAACUAACUU
Molecule: ribosomal RNA, 114 nt
Filed under: Oceanobacillus piezotolerans
Lineage: Bacteria; Bacillati; Bacillota; Bacilli; Caryophanales; Bacillaceae
Description: Oceanobacillus sp. YLB-02 partial 23S ribosomal RNA
Rfam family: Bacterial large subunit ribosomal RNA
Source: RNAcentral